ACAACUGUAAAAUAUGUUGUACUAGGUCAGGAUAUUUCAUUUUGGACGCCUUUUGUGCAUUCUAUAGAACUAAACACUCCUUCACUCUCACAGAGGAUUUUUUAGCACCAAUUUACUACACAAAAAUCAUUUUUGAUUUCCUCUGCUGAGAGACUUGUUUUCAAUAUUAGAAAAAGAUUCCUCUAUUUUCUUAAAAUCUGAAAAGAUGAUUUGAAGUAUAAGGUUCUCUCAUUGUUUUUUAAGGUUGAACCUAGGUGUAAUUUGGUUGUCGUUUGCUUCUUGUUGCUGCUCACCAUCUUUUGGAAAUGUUCAAUUGUUUAGUGACCUUUAUUUGGUCAUUCCUCUAGUUAUAUUUUUCAGUUUCAAGGUACGUACCAUGACUCUUUUGAAUGGAAUCAAACUCUGUAUUUCAAAUCUUCACUUGGAAGUUUUUUAUUUCAGUGAACCUUGAUAUUUGAUCUGAGAAUCAUGAAUGUUGGAUUUAAAGUUAAUUGGACUAUAUGUUAGUUUUAGAUGAUUGUUGAAUUUAAAUCAUGAAAUCUGGAUGUUGUACUAUAUUACAUGUCAAAACACACAUAUUUGGUUGACUAAAUCAGUACAUAUGCACCUCUGAGACUAUGUCCUAAACCCCAUCUCCCAUAUCAACACAAAAGGAUAUUGAAUCAGACCCCUUUAAUGGUCAGAUUCAUCCCUUAAAAUAGUGCAUAAAAGUCUUGUUUUCCUCAUUAUUUCUUUGAGUCAUUUCCCCUUCUUCUCCACCCUCUUUUACUGAAAUGAGUGCUAUAGAAUGAAUCAUGGCUUGGGAAUUAUUGUUUUUCACAAGACUGACCCUCAAUAUGGUUAGGCUCGAUACACAUUAUCUUUAUCUUUCAUUCAUCUUGUGUUAGGUUCAACUUGGACACAUUUUUUUAUUAGCAAGAUUUCUCUGAAAGAGUACUAACUUCUUCUCUGAAAUUUUCAGACUUAGAAAUAGCUUCUCCUUUUAAAGAAGAAAUAUCAGAAACCUCUUGUUCCUUUAUAAGUAAAAAACAUGGUUUGAAAAUGGGAACUUCCUUUAGUUCCUUAGGUGGAUUAUGAGUUUCUUCCAGCUUGGAUUCCGGGUUUAAAGCCUGAUUCUGAGAGCUACAGAAGCUGUUUGGUUCGUUGUUGUUGUUUCUUGCUUUGAAGUAGCUUUGUCAGUCUCAUUUAGUCCUUUAUCUUCAAAGGACGCAUAGUUAUUCCUUGAAAUGACUCCUUUGUAGGUGUAAUUCUUUAAAUAAAUGGUUCCUUGUUUUCAUUUGAAUUCUGAUUGAUGAGUUGUUAGCUUUUAUGCAAUGUCAAUAUUGGUCAUCUCUAUAAAUGUGUAUUUCAGAUUUUUUUGCAUUAGUCAAGUAACAUGUCUAGAUCCUCACCUUAUAAAACUUGGUUAGCUUAUUGAGUUUGACCCUUCCAUGGUCAAAUUCAUAGCCUAAAAUAACAUUCCCCUUCGUUUAAGUGUAUCCUGUAUUUGCUUUAAGGCAACUUGCCAUAACUGUGAGGUUUAAAACCUCAGUUGAUGUAUGAGUUUAACCUUUUUGACAUGGUUGAACCCAUGAAUCAGGCUGUCCCACAUAUUUGAGUUUUUUUUAAUAUUCUGGUUCAGGAGUGGUUCUAUAGUCAGCUUUUCGCUUCCUCUCUUUUCUUAACACAUUUCUUAAUACAAGUAAUGCUGAUAUUAUUUAGGUGUUAAUACAAGUAAUGGUGAUAUUCUUAAUACAAAUAAAUGGUUCCUUGUUUUCAUUUGGAUUCUGAUUGAUGAGUUGUUAGCUUUUAUGCAAUGUCAAUAUUGGUCAUCUCUAUAAAUGUGUAUUUCAAAUUUUUUUGCUAGUCAAGUAACAUGUCUAGAUCCUCACCUUAUAAAACUUGGUUAGCUUAUUGAGUUUGACUCUUCCAUGGUCAAAUUCAUAGCCUAAACUAACAUUCCCCUUUGUUUAAGUGUAUCCUGUAUUUGCUUUAAGGCAACUUGCCAUAACUGUGAGGUUUAAAACCUCAGUUGAUGUAUGAGUUUAACCUUUUUGACAUGGUGGAACCCAUGAAUCAGGCUGUCCCACAUAUUUGAGUGUUUUUUAAUAUUCUGGUUCAGGAGUUGUUCUAUAGUCAGCUUUUCGCUUCCUCUCUUUUCUUAAUACAAGUAAUGCUGAUAUUAUUUAGGAGUUAUUUACAAAACUUUGAGCCAGUGCUUAUAGAUUUGGUCACCAGUUGACCAGAUCAGCAAGUAUAAAAGUUUUAAAACCCAAAGCUCUACUAUUCCAGCAUACCGAGAUCCAGUGCUAUUUACAUAUGAAGCACAGCUUUGAUGGAUAAGCUAUGUCCAAGAAGAGGCAGUUUUCAUUAUCCAUAUAUGGAGGCUGCAAUAGUUUAGUGAUUGGGGUAUUUUAUGUAUUUAAUAGGAUUAUCAUGUAAUAACGUUAAUUUUUCUGGAUUUUCAUAACCUGCGAGUAUUAUAAAUGGACUUCUUUAGUUUUAUUCAGUUUCUCCUUUUCCUAGUUUAUUUAGUAUUGUGUCAUUACACUUAUGACCUAAAGUUCAUUUGAUGAACAUGUUUUAUUGCUGUGACUGGGACAGGCUCACAGUCAUGCCCAAGUUGAGAUCCAUUCCAGCAAAUCCGAG
RNAcentral lists this long non-coding RNA (2628 nucleotides) under Nicotiana benthamiana. RNAcentral describes it as "long non-coding RNA (NBEN_LNC021512)". Lineage: Eukaryota; Viridiplantae; Streptophyta; Magnoliopsida; Solanales; Solanaceae. The record is from RNAcentral.